UGAGUGCGAGCUGCUACGGCAGCGAAGUUGGUGACGUCAAGCUUCCAAGAAAAGCCCUAUACCCGUUAAGGCAUCAUGGCCUGUACCCGAAACCGACACAGGUGGGGUGGUAGAGAAUACCGAGGGGCGCGAGGUAACUCUCUCUAAGGAACUCGGCAAAAUGGCCCCGUAACUUCGGGAGAAGGGGUGCCACCGCAAGGUGGUCGCAGUGAAGAGGCCCAGGCGACUGUUUACCAAAAACACAGGUCUCCGCUAAGUCGCAAGACGAUGUAUGGGGGCUGACGCCUGCCCAGUGCCGGAAGGUUAAGGAAGCUGGUCAGCGCAAGCGAAGCUAGCGACUGAAGCCCCGGUGAACGGCGGCCGUAACUAUAACGGUCCUAAGGUAGCGAAAUUCCUUGUCGGGUAAGUUCCGACCCGCACGAAAGGCGUAACGAUCUGGGCGCUGCCUCGGAGAGAGGCUCGGCGAAAUAGAAUUGUCUGUGAAGAUGCGGACUACGUGCACCCGGACAGAAAGACCCUAUGAAGCUUUACUGUAGCUUGGCAUUGUGCCCGGGCUCUGAAUGCGCAGGAUAGGUGGGAGGCUUUGAUCAUCGGCUUGCGGGUCGAUGUGAGCCAACGGUGAGAUACCACUCUUUCAGAGCUAGGGUUCUAACAGUCACCCGUUAUCCGGGGACUGGACAGUAUCAGGUGGGCAGUUUGACUGGGGCGGUCGCCUCCUAAAAGGUAACGGAAGCGCGCAAAGGUCUGCUCAGGCUGGUUGGAAAUCAGCCGACGAGUGUAAAAGCAGAAGCAGGCUUGACUGUGAGACCUACAAGUCGAACAGGGAGGAAACUCGGCUUUAGUGAUCCGACGGUUCUGCGUGGAAGGGCCGUCGCUCAACGGAUAAAAGUUACUCUAGGAUAACAGGCUGAUCUCCCCCAAGAGUUCACAUCGACGGGGAGGUUUGGCACCUCGAUGUCGGCUCAUCGCAACCUGGGGCUGAAGUCGGUCCCAAGGGUUGGGCUGUUCGCCCAUUAAAGCGGUACGCGAGCUGGGUUCAGAACGUCGUGAGACAGUUCGGUCCAUAUCCGGUGCAUGCGCAGGAAUAUUGAGAGGAGUUCUCCCUAGUACGAGAGGACCGGGAGGAACGCACCUCUGGUGUACCAGUUAUCGUGCCAACGGUAAACGCUGGGUAGCCAUGUGCGGAGAGGAUAACCGCUGAAAGCAUCUAAGUGGGAAGCCCACCUCAAGAUGAGUAUUCCCAUGGCGUUAGCCAGUAAGGUCACGGGAAGAACACCCGUUGAUAGGCUCUAUGUGGAAGCGCAGUAAUGCGUGAAGCAGAGGAGUACUAAUAGACCGAGGGCUUGAUC
Molecule: ribosomal RNA, 1349 nt
Filed under: metagenome
Description: bacterial LSU rRNA
Rfam family: Bacterial large subunit ribosomal RNA
Source: RNAcentral